This 252-nucleotide ribosomal RNA is filed under the name uncultured bacterium. Its description in RNAcentral is "partial 16S ribosomal RNA". It matches the Rfam family "Bacterial small subunit ribosomal RNA", at positions 524 to 776 of the family's 1533-position model. The record is from RNAcentral.
UACGUAGGGGGCUAGCGUUGUCCGGAUUUAUUGGGCGUAAAGAGCGUGUAGGCGGCCAUGUAGGUCCGGUGUGAAAACUCGAGGCUUAACCUCGAGAUGUCAUCGGAAACCAUUUGGCUAGAGUCCGGAAGAGGAGAGUGGAAUUCCUGGUGUAGCGGUGAAAUGCGCAGAUAUCAGGAAGAACACCAAUGGCGAAAGCAGCUCUCUGGGACGGUACUGACGCUGAGACGCGAAAGCGUGGGAGCGAACAGG